Taeniopygia guttata (zebra finch) is the source of this 1655-nucleotide non-coding RNA. The record is from RefSeq and is a predicted model, not a curated record. NCBI's taxonomy places the organism in Eukaryota, Metazoa, Chordata, Aves, Passeriformes, Estrildidae.
AUCAGAGGCUGAUUAAAGGAACUUCAGAAAUGAUGUGGCACAAAGACUGCUGUUAAUGACCUCCGAUUACUGUUGAUUGUACCUUCCUAUACUGCAAAAAAUAAUUCUGCAUUCAUGGCACAUUAUAGUUGUGGAAUUUUCUUCAUCAAAGUGUACAUAUUUAGUCCAUUGAUAUGAAUUUUUGGUUCUUCAGCAAGGUUGUUGAUACACCCCCUAAGACCAUCUUCAGCAAACAAGCCCAUUGCCUCUUGUCCUUUCUCUGGAUGCCACUGAGAGGAAUCUGGCUCUGUCCUAUUUUCAUCCCAUCAGACAUUUAUAUACAUUAAUUAAGUGCACUCAGAGUCUUCCCUACACUAGGCUAAAACUUCCCAAGUCUCUCAGCUUUUUCUCAGAAGAGAGAUGCUCAGACCCUUAAUCACCGUAGUGGCCCUUCACUGGACUCUCUCCGGUAUCUCUGUGUUUCUCCUGUACUGGGAAGCCUGGAACUGAUCCCAGCACUCCACAUGGAGCCUCACCAGUGGAAAGCAGAAAGGAAGAAUCUCCCCUCUGGACCUGUUGGCAAUGCUUUUCCUCACACAGCCCAGGAUGCUCCUUUGCUUCCAAGGUGUACCACUGGCUCACAGUCAGCUAUUGGCAGCUCUCAAAACCAAAGCCAGUUAAUUGCAUGGAAGUUUUUGGAAUUAAAUAUCAUCUGAAUGGGUCACUUGAACCUGUCUUUCCUUCAUCUUUUUUUUGGCAGAUGUCCCAGAUGUAUCCCAAAUUAACAAUUUUUAUAGAAGCUGAGUGGUUUCACAAGGAGAACCUGCAAUUUUUUUCAGAGAACUGUGUGGCUUGUUAGUUUGUGAUCUGGCAUUAGAGCACACUGAAUCAUGUAAAUUGGGCAUUAGAAAGGCAGGCUCCUAACUUUGAAAUAAUUUUCUUGACUUGCAGUGUCAUAAAAACAUUAGUGUCUCAUUUUUUUCCUAAUUGGAAGUCUGUGCUUCAACUACCUUUUGAAUGAAGAUGUAUGUAUUCUGAAGGUGUGUUUUGAUAAAUUGUGUUUCUUUGAGAACUAAGGAGUUCACUGAAAUUAAAAAUUUGACAGCUACACACAUAGGCAUAAAGAAGAAAUAGGUGCCACACAUUUUUUUUUUUUUGAGAACUAAAUGUCUAGAUAUUUUUGAAACAGGAGUCAAAGAUCUGCAAUGGGAAAUUCAGUGUGCUUUGAUUACCUAAAAGUGAGUCACUUUGUGGAAAUAUUCUAAACCUGAAAAAAUAAAAACCUAUCUGUGAAAAAUAAAGAUUAUGUAAAAGACUUUCACAUUUAUUUGAUAAUUUUUAAAAUUAUUUAAUGCUGUUGGUUGUGAUUUAUCCCCUAACUAAACUGUGUUUGUGUUGAUUCUGAGAGAAAACGGAGGUGUUCAAGCACAGACAGAUGUGUUUUGGUGAUUUAUUUCAUACUGCUUCUUCUCUUUGGAUUUGAAACAAGUAAUAAUGAAUUCCUUCCAAUUCCUUUGUAAGCUUAGGCCAGGGCUUUGUGUUCUACAACCUACUCAUCACACAUAAUUAUAUGGGGCAAUUAUAUGGUAUAGCUGGUUGCCUAUAAGAAACAAAAGGGACAAAACUCACAUUUUGGUUUUGAUUCUCAGGCUGAAUUUAAAUUGUAUAAAAAAAAA